This 371-nucleotide unclassified non-coding RNA is filed under the name uncultured fungus. Its description in RNAcentral is "sequence contains ITS1". The stretch from base 1 to 105 matches the Rfam family "5.8S ribosomal RNA", at positions 50 to 154 of the family's 154-position model. The record is from RNAcentral. Lineage: Eukaryota; Fungi.
GAAAUGCGAUACGUAGUGUGAAUUGCAGAAUUCCGUGAACCAUCGAAUCUUUGAACGCAAAUUGCGCUCGAGGCCUCGGCCAAGAGCAUGUCUGCCUCAGCGUCGGCUACUACCCUCAACUAAGUUCCCUAUUCUCAUAGGGGAUACCGGUUGGAUCUGGCCGUCCGGUUUUCCUUUCAGGUUGCCGGUCAGCUGAAAUACAUUCACGCUCUGGGGGCUGCUUUCCUUUCGAGGAGAGGCGAGUUCCGAUUUGGUAGGUGACCUUUGCCGGUUACAUGCCUUCGUUGCCCGCUAAGUUUCCCAGUAUGCGUUGUGCAGGACGCCUUUUGGCUUUCGACCUGAGGUCAGGCAAGAACACCCGCUGAACUUAA